Molecule: non-coding RNA, 2531 nt
Organism: Lactuca sativa (garden lettuce)
Lineage: Eukaryota; Viridiplantae; Streptophyta; Magnoliopsida; Asterales; Asteraceae
Source: RefSeq, a predicted model, not a curated record
UAAGAACGAUGUACAAUUUUAAAAUGCUUUAAGAAAAUUUUGUAUGGUAACACACUUUGCCGUCAAUAUCAAUCCGCUCUUCCCUAAAUUGUCUCCCGUAACCCAUGACUCCAUCUUCUCUGCCUUCUCUGAUGUAUAUCAAUCCAAUCUUUACACUUUCUUUUCAUUCCUUCGGGGAAGACAACAAUCGCCUACCACAACGAAGACACCACGCCCACGGUCUGUGAAAUGAUGAAUCCCACCCACUAAUAUUGAUAGGAAACCCUAAAUCCCUUCUCACAACCAUCAAAUUGUUGACCACUCUUUCACACUAACACUAGCCGUCACUCACCAACACCAGGACAACCAUUUUUCAGCAACACUAUCCAUCAUCGUUUGCCUCCCUACCACCGCCAUGGCAUCACAAGACCAGCCCCGCCGAUAUCUAUAGAAAGGAACUCCUACUGCAUCUUUUCCACCACCAUACACACCAUUCCCCACAUAUAGACACAUGAAACCCUAGCCACGACACGUCUUCAAGAUCCGUUAACUAUGGUAGAAGAUCCAAACCAGUCGAGACUUUGGGUUUAGGGUAAUUGAUAGUUUUUUAGUUUUUUUAUUUUUUAUUUUGUUGAAGUUUUGUCUCAAAGUUUUGUUCUUUCGAUUUUACAAGAAAUGGUGACGGUCUAAAGCCUUUCAAUACAGAUUAUGUGAAUGGGUUUCACAUUCCCUCCAAAAGGAACCCUAAUCUAACUCAACUCAUCUUCGAUCUUUUAUGUUUCUCUUUAUUUGUCAUUUUAAAAGUAAAAUUCAGACCCUAAAUGAUUUAUUUUUGUAGAUUUGUAAUGUUAGGAACAUAAUCCACAUUUCUGUGUGCAUUGAAUAUCAAGGAAAAGCUACGUAUCAUCCAAUGUUGGAUAAGUGAUUAGAAGGAAUUUCUUGCAGGCUAUGCAGGCACUUGGAUUGAUAUUUGAUAGGGUUAUGUAUUCAUGGUUAGCCAAGUGAAUCUAAUUUGGUGUUUGGCAUUCUUUCCCAGUACAAGUAUAUGAUGGUAUAUGUUUAUAUUUAUGUUCUUGAAAGUGUGUUUUAGGGAAUCUGGUUUGCUUUUAUAUUUAUUACUCGAGGCUCAGCAAUCACAUGUUUGGGGAGCAUGUUAAGAGUCUCAAAGGAUGUUCCACUAGAAGGUACUUAAGAAGCUAGAAUUACUAUAUGUUGUCUAGCUAUAAUAUAAUAAUAUAUGUAUGUGUUUUGUUUAUGGUAUUAUGUGUGUGUGUGAAUGAACACAUGUACAUCCAAUAUGGGCCUAAUGAAAAGAUGUACUAAAGCUUCUGAAAACCAAGUCAUCUUCUUAUUGAAGUGUUUAUUGCUUUGGUAACCAUAUAUAUAGUCUAAGCAUCCUGUUUUUUUUUAACUUAAUCAAGACAAACAUAAACUAAGCUGCAUAAUAGUAGCAGUGAAGUUAAUGUUAGUUGGUUGAGACUUUCAAAACAUUAAAAUGCUGAAAAAUCAUUUUGUUUUAAACAACUUGAUUGUCUAGAUUAUUUUGGUUUUGGUUUUAAAAACUAAAAAUAAAAUCCCAAUAGCCUCAAAUGCAACAACCACCGUUUCAAAUGGCUACUGUUCCAAUAAAUUAAAAUUGUCAUUUUUAAGUUAAAUACAGAAGAGUUAAUUUACAUUUUUCGUCCGUGAGUACAACUAAUUUUUCAAUUUUGGUCUAAAAGGAUCAUUUACAAAUUUGGUCUGAACUUUAUUCAUUUUGGUAUCUAUGCAGUUUAAAUUAAGAUUUUAGACUUUAAAAUUUGAUAAUGCUCAUUUUGCACUUGGAAAAAACUAAAAAGGAAUAGUAUACCACACCAUAUGAAAACAAUUCAUUUAUUUCUAUUAUACUUAAUUAAUGUUUAUAGCAUUUCUUUUUUAAUUAUUUUCAUACCAAUCAUAGGAUAAGAGGAAAUUAGAAAGUUGGUUCCUGCGUUAUGCUUUUAUUUGAACUUUUCAAGGGUAAAAUGGUAAUUUUUAAGGCAAAAAUGAUCUUGAUAUUGCUUUUUUAAUGGAAGUUCUUUUCUGUUUCAACUUUCACUAAUUUGGUGGCCAGACUUUCAUUUCUUCAUGUAGGAGCAGUGUAUUUUGAAAAAUCUACUCUAUCAUAGCAAUGUCACUCCAACGGAAAGAAAUUUUCAUUGGUACGAGAGAUCCUUUUAAAAGUAGAAGGUAAGAGAUAACUUGUAAAUACAAUGUUAUAGUUGGGUAGACCAUAAUUUACAUUGUUGUAAUGUAAAUAAAUACUAUAUCCGCUAACAGAAUUGCAGGAAAAAAAAAUAUUUUUUUUAUUUACUUUAUUGAAGAUAAUAUACAAAAAGUUAAUGAUUCUUUUGUAGAUAUUGCAGGGUAUCGUUUUCCAAACUUUUGCCUAUUCAACAGUUCUUCAAAAUUUUAGUAGUUAAUAGGAAAUCCUUUGUAGUCCAUUAUUUAAGGAUGAUGUUAUUAACAAGGAGGUUGAAUUGAUGUACAUGGAAUACGGGUAUUAUUUAUUUGGUUAAUUGGGUUUAUAUUUA